AGAGUUUGAUCCUGGCUCAGGAUGAACGCUGGCGGAAUGCUUAACACAUGCAAGUCGCACGCUCCGGCAACGGGGAGUGGCGGACGGGUGAGGAACGCGUAGGAACAUGUCCAGAGGUGGGGGACAACCCUGGGAAACCGGGGCUAAUACCGCAUACGGCCCGAGGGCCAAAGCCGCGAGGCGCCUUUGGAGUGGCCUGCGUCCGAUUAGCUUGUUGGCGGGGUAACGGCCCACCAAGGCUCCGAUCGGUAGCUGGUCUGAGAGGAUGAUCAGCCACACUGGGACUGAGACACGGCCCAGACUCCUACGGGAGGCAGCAGCCAGGAAUCUUGGGCAAUGGGCGAAAGCCUGACCCAGCAACACCGUGUGGGUGAUGAAGGCCUUCGGGUCGUAAAGCCCUGUUGAUAGGGACGAAGGGCGAAGGGUUAAUAGCCCGGAGCUUGACGGUACCUUUCGAGGAAGCCCCGGCUAACUACGUGCCAGCAGCCGCGGUAAUACGUAGGGGGCGAGCGUUGUCCGGAUUUAUUGGGUUUAAAGGGUGCGUAGGCGGCCUUUUAAGUCAGUGGUGAAAGCCCAUAGCUCAACUAUGGAACUGCCAUUGAUACUGAAAGGCUUGAGUACAGACGAGGUUGGCGGAAUGGAUGGUGUAGCGGUGAAAUGCAUAGAUACCAUCCAGAACUCCGAUUGCGUAGGCAGCUAACUAGGCUGUAACUGACGCUGAGGCACGAAAGCGUGGGGAGCAAACAGGAUUAGAUACCCCCGUAGUCC
RNAcentral lists this ribosomal RNA (768 nucleotides) under uncultured soil bacterium. Its description in RNAcentral is "bacterial SSU rRNA". It matches the Rfam family "Bacterial small subunit ribosomal RNA", at positions 8 to 796 of the family's 1533-position model. The record is from RNAcentral.